UUAAGUUCAGCGGGUAAUCCUACCUGAUUUGAGGUCAGAUGUCAUAAAGAAUGUCUAAGAGAAUAGACAAUUAGAAGCCAGAACUUCCGAGCACCAUUCCACAGUGCAGAUAAUUAUCACACUGAAGAUGGCACUUCGUUCCUGCUAAUGCAUUUUAGAGGAGUCGAUUAACAAAGUGUAACCAACAGAAAGCCUCCAAG
Molecule: unclassified non-coding RNA, 200 nt
Filed under: Hypochnicium sp.
Lineage: Eukaryota; Fungi; Basidiomycota; Agaricomycetes; Polyporales
Description: partial internal transcribed spacer 2
Source: RNAcentral